CAGGGUGGCAGGGUUUGGCCAAGUAGUCAACAGUUGUCAUCCCCAUAUAUGUUACCUUCAGAAGUCACCAAUCAAGUGGCUAUUAUGAGAACAAAGAAGCGAAAAGUCACAACAUCUGAGCUUCUACCGUGGCAUAAAGAGGUGACUCGAGAUUCCAAAAGGCUUCAAAAUAUCAGUGUGGCAGAACAAGACUGGGCACAAGCCACAAACCGGCUGACUGAGAAGGUAGAAGAUGAGGUUGAAAUGAUUGAUGAUUUGCAGCCAAUGCAACGAUCAAAGAGAAGGCUUAUGUUAACAACACAGCUUCUACAGCAGUUGUUUCAUCCUCCACCAGCAUCCAUUUUAUCUGCAGACUCUGCUUCAAGCUAUGAUAUCAUAUCAUACUUCAUUUCUAGAUUAUCACUGGGAGAUGCAUGUAGCCUUGCUUACUGCUUGAGAAAUGAGUUUCUUGCGCUUGUAAACAACAGUAAUGUGAAUUCUGAAAGAAGAGGUGAACAACAAUUUUUGGCAGUUGUGGAAGAGUUCAUUGAUAAAGCGAAGAAACUGGAGAAUGACUUCCAAAGAUUGGACAAGACAGCAUCAGUUGUAGACAUGAGAGCAAGAGUUGGAAAGGUUUGCUGUCAUUAAUCGUUUUGCCAAAUUUCAUGUUCGGGGACAAAUAGAUGCUUCUGGAACCUCAACUUCUGGUUCUCUGAAGCCAAUUCCGCAGAGACACAUCACAGCAUUUCCUAUGCCUCGAAAUCUACCUGAGGGGGUACAAUGUCUUUCACUGUGACUAUCAACCAUUUAUCACAAACUGACUCUUCUCUUCUUCUGCAUUCUGCAUUCCAUAGUGUUACCUGUGCCCUUACCGACAUGACUUUGUUAACUUGAAACACUGGCAUGCGAGGAGUGAUGCAAAAUGAAAUGGACAGAUCAACUCCAAGUAACCAAGGCCGCAUAUUCAUUUGGAAUUAAGGUCAUUGAUUGUCAUUUUUGAGAAAGUAUAUAUUGUUUCUUGUAUAUGUUAAUGAAAUUGCAAGGAGAAUAGGGAGUAUUCAAAUUAACUUUUUAUAGAGCUAGAGGAUCAGUAGCGUGG
This 1078-nucleotide unclassified non-coding RNA is filed under the name Hevea brasiliensis (rubber tree). The record is from RNAcentral. Lineage: Eukaryota; Viridiplantae; Streptophyta; Magnoliopsida; Malpighiales; Euphorbiaceae.